CUCACCAUUCUCUUUUCUCAGCCUUGAAAUGAACUUCUUUGGUGGGAUGACGCCAACCUUCUUCUUCUGUGUGGCAAUGCUGUGGAAAAGGUCCGCCAGGCACGUCAGCAAGUUUUCCUUCUUCUUUUGCUGGGCCUUGUAUGCCAACACAUUCUCCCGGAAUGGACGGCAGAAGUACAAUGCCUGAAGCACGGAGUUACAGUAGCAUGUGUUUCCAAACUGCCAAGGGACAAGAGGG
Molecule: long non-coding RNA, 238 nt
Filed under: Homo sapiens (human)
Lineage: Eukaryota; Metazoa; Chordata; Mammalia; Primates; Hominidae
Description: HSALNT0072216
Source: RNAcentral